This 734-nucleotide long non-coding RNA is filed under the name Gossypium barbadense (sea-island cotton). RNAcentral's name for it is "long non-coding RNA (GBAR_LNC011644)". Lineage: Eukaryota; Viridiplantae; Streptophyta; Magnoliopsida; Malvales; Malvaceae. The record is from RNAcentral.
AUAAAUACCAUUUAUUUUUACCUUUUUGGGCAAUCAGAAGAGAUGAAAUCAAAUGGUUUUCUUGAUUUCUUUCAAUGGUUGUAAGUUUUUUUGCAUGUUUGAGGCUCAAAUCUGAGGUGGAGAGAGCAAAAGGAUUAAAAUGGGCCAGUUUUGCACCUCCGGCCGCAGUGCACAGUGAUCACCGGCGACGGACGGACGGACGGUGGUCCAAUCAUCGGAAACAGAUUGCCCAGAGAGAAAUCUUCCCCCUUUUUUUCUUUUUUUUUCAGAAAGUAUGAAGAAAUGAGAAUUUUAAAAAAUUUUGGGGUUUUAUAGCAUGUUUAAAACGGCGUCGUUUAAGGCCGUUUCAAUGGCCUCAAAACGGCGUCGUUUAGUGACCCAUGCCCGAGAUCCGACCUGAAACCUGCCUAGGAUCAGCGUGUUUUUGGACUGAAGGUCUAUUUGCGCCUUCGGUCCUUUCGCUUUUGAGGCGUUUCUUAAUGUGGUCCCGUUUUUCUUUUCUUUUUCUUUUUUUAAUUUUUGCUCUAUGGAUUUUACCUCCGAUUCGUUUGGAUCCGCAUUGAAACGCUGCGUUUUGAGGGCUUAGGAUAUUUUCCCCGUCAAUCCCUCUCCUUUACACGUGCGUUUAUUUUGAUCCUGAUUCAUAAUUUAUUAAUUUUUACAUUUUAUAAUUUGUACCCCACGUUUUAUUCUGAUUGCAAUUUAAUCCUUAACCUUUUAGCUUCAUUUUUUUU